Salvelinus sp. IW2-2015 is the source of this 157-nucleotide non-coding RNA. The record is from RefSeq and is a predicted model, not a curated record. NCBI's taxonomy places the organism in Eukaryota, Metazoa, Chordata, Actinopteri, Salmoniformes, Salmonidae.
AUCAUCAAACCAGGCACUCCUCUCUAUGCAGCACACUUCCGUCCAGGACAAUAUGUAGAUGUCACAGCCAAAACUAUUGGUAAGGGUUUUCAGGGGUGAUGAGCGGUAUGGUUUUAAAGGCCAGCCACGUCUCAUGGCCAGACCAAAACACACCGCA